Molecule: ribosomal RNA, 254 nt
Filed under: uncultured bacterium
Lineage: Bacteria
Description: partial 16S ribosomal RNA
Rfam family: Bacterial small subunit ribosomal RNA
Source: RNAcentral
UACAGAGGUCUCAAGCGUUGUUCGGAUUCACUGGGCGUAAAGGGUGCGCAGGUGGGUUUGCAAGUUCGAUGUGAAAGCCCCGGGCUUAACCCGGGAAUGGCAUUGGAUACUGCAGAUCUGGAGGAUCGGAGGGGGGGACUGGAAUUCUUGGUGUAGCAGUGAAAUGCGUAGAUAUCAAGAGGAACACCAGUGGCGAAGGCGAGUCCCUGGACGGUACCUGACACUGAGGCACGAAAGCUAGGGGAGCAAACAGG